AAAUUGAAGAGUUUGAUCAUGGCUCAGAUUGAACGCUGGCGGCAGGCCUAACACAUGCAAGUCGAACGGUAACAGGAAGCAGCUUGCUGCUUUGCUGACGAGUGGCGGACGGGUGAGUAAUGUCUGGGAAACUGCCCGAUGGAGGGGGAUAACUACUGGAAACGGUAGCUAAUACCGCAUAACGUCGCAAGACCAAAGAGGGGGACCUUAGGGCCUCUUGCCAUCGGAUGUGCCCAGAUGGGAUUAGCUAGUAGGUGGGGUAA
Molecule: ribosomal RNA, 263 nt
Filed under: Escherichia coli
Lineage: Bacteria; Pseudomonadati; Pseudomonadota; Gammaproteobacteria; Enterobacterales; Enterobacteriaceae
Also listed under: 8 other names
Description: partial 16S ribosomal RNA
Rfam family: Bacterial small subunit ribosomal RNA
Source: RNAcentral